This 31-nucleotide non-coding RNA is filed under the name Rattus norvegicus (Norway rat). Lineage: Eukaryota; Metazoa; Chordata; Mammalia; Rodentia; Muridae. The record is from RNAcentral.
UCUAAAGAAUUCUGGUCUCUUAGGAGUGCAU